UUUUUGGAGAGUUUGAUCUUGGCUCAGGACGAACGCUGGCGGCGUGCCUAAUACAUGCAAGUCGAGCGCGGGAAUCUCUUCUGAUCCCUUCGGGGUGAAGAGAGUGGAACGAGCGGCGGACGGGUGAGUAACACGUGGGCAACCUACCUAUAAGACUGGGAUAACUCGCGGAAACGUGAGCUAAUACCGGAUAAUACUUUUUAUUGCAUAAUAAGAAGUUUGAAAGGCGGCGUAAGC
This 237-nucleotide ribosomal RNA is filed under the name Bacilli bacterium. RNAcentral describes it as "partial 16S ribosomal RNA". It matches the Rfam family "Bacterial small subunit ribosomal RNA", at positions 1 to 215 of the family's 1533-position model. Lineage: Bacteria; Bacillati; Bacillota; Bacilli. The record is from RNAcentral.